This 321-nucleotide ribosomal RNA is filed under the name Triticum aestivum (bread wheat). RNAcentral's name for it is "partial small subunit ribosomal RNA". Lineage: Eukaryota; Viridiplantae; Streptophyta; Magnoliopsida; Poales; Poaceae. The record is from RNAcentral.
AUGAAAAUAAUCCAUGAAGCUAUUGACAAGAUACGACAGUUGCUGAAGUUUAUUGACUCUUCUCCUUCAAGACUUCAGGAUUUCGCAAUUGCAAGUGGGAUGGGUCUGCCUUCAAAGAAAGGUAUCUCUGUUGAUACACCAUCCAGAUGGAACUCAAGAUGGAAAAUGCUUGUAGAAGCAUUGAUAUACAAAUCUGUCCUCACUAGUUAUACCAAUCGAAAGAUGAUAGAAUCUCCAAGUGAGCAAGAAUGGGAAAGGGCAGCAGCUAUUUGUGAGUUUCUAAAAGCUUUUGAAGAGCUUAUCUUAAUUGUUUCAGCUCAU